UUCUGGGGCUUUGCUUGAUGAGCUUGCAUUGUCAAUGCAUGGGACAAAAGCAAAGGGAACACUCUCUGUUUACCCCUUCUAAGGCCUGACCUUGGGCCCCUAGUCCGUGUCUUUGACCUUGUCAUCACCACCACAGGCAGCCAAUCUCAACUGGGAAAAGCAGGGAUUUAUGAACUCAUUUCAACUAUCCUAUUCAGUGGAUCCUCAUUGGAAAAGCCACCUUCAAAAAGUGUCUUUCCAUUGCUGAUCCAUGACUAGCGCCUGAACCCAAAUUUUUAGCACUCUGCCACUAAAAGAAAAAAUGCAAACAAGGUGAGGCUGGCAAGAAGGCUGAUGAUGCUGUUUUACACCUAGAGGUCUUAUGGAACCAGGACUGCAUUUGUACAUGGAACAAACAACUUUGGGGGAUGGUUUAAUAAUUGCCUUUGGUAGGGCUUGUCUCACAUUCAUUAAAAA
Symphalangus syndactylus (siamang) is the source of this 456-nucleotide long non-coding RNA. RefSeq lists it as uncharacterized. Lineage: Eukaryota; Metazoa; Chordata; Mammalia; Primates; Hylobatidae. The record is from RefSeq and is a predicted model, not a curated record.